GGAAGGCAUCGGAGCCUGAGCAAGGGGAGGAGGGGGAGCCCCAACUCCGGGCUUCCUGGGAACACCUCCAGAAGCCAGAAGCCGGGCAGCCCCGGGUCAUCAUCUGCACUCUGGCUUCAUUUACAAGAUCUGUGUCUGCCGAGCAGCCUCGUGGACAAGCACGGGACUCUCUCCCUCGGCACCCAGAACCACAGAGCGCUCCCUGGAAGGAGUGGAAUGCGUCUCCCUAAGAGAGCUGGUUUGUGGUGAGACUAGCGAAUGGGCAAGCUUCAUCCAGACACCCUCCUUGAAGGCAGUCUCACCCAACCCACUCUCAGACCCCCUGGACCCGGAACUCUUUCAAGGCUCCAGACAGGCCAGAAAGCUUCCCUCGAGACCCACGCCACAGAUGAGACAGAUGCCCCAGGCAGCAGCCCAGCGUCCAGGGAGAAGAGCUGCGAUAUUCAGCUUGGGUGCUGAGGGGCCUUUCCCCCUGGGCCGAGUCUCUCCUGGAGAGCGUCCCUCACCACACAAGUCUGUGCCUGGUGGUGGUUUGCCUGAAGCUGGGUGGCUUGUGCCGAAGUGUUCCACUCUUGACCAACUAAUGCUAACGCUCAUGUUGUUUAUCAUCUGGUUCCACUUUGAUGAAAGUUGACAAAGGGUGCUGACAAUUUGGGCUUUCACCAGGAAGCCCCAGGGUGGCGUUCCAAACGCAAAUGUCCCAUGGUUCUUGGCUGGCCCAGAGUCGUGUGCAUGUGUCACAACUGGACGACUCUGGGAAGCCGACUCAUGUGAUUAAACUCAGAACUGCCAAAUGAUUUAUUCACAUGGAGGGUGCUCUUUUCAAGGGGCUGAAAUUAAUUGAUUCCCCAGAAGGAUUUCUGGCUGGAAUAUCCAGAAUGCCAAGUCCUAGGAAUGGUGCCUGGUGAGCCUGUACCCUGUGAGCACAGGAGUGGGCAGUGGUGGGGGGGGGGGGGGUCUUACCUCCAGACCAAGGUAGCAGCCCCAUGAAGCUGGGGGCCCAAUGGAGCAUCGUCCCCCUGGACCUGACAGAUAAUCCAGGCUUCCUCUCUCCAAGGCGAGUUUAGCAGUGACCACCUGGCCUUUAAAUAAAAUACAAUACAUGACAAUUAUCUAUACAAUAGACAGAAGCGGUGAUUUAUAGGUAUAAAUGUAUUUUAUGGAUUCCAAUGUAUAACAUGAUGGGACAGGAUGAAAAUUACUAACUCGGGGCCUUGCACAGCCUUCACGCUUCCUCACUCUCUGACAAGCGACAAAAGCCAAGAAGGGGGAUUUUCAAAAUAGAAGACAAAGAAAGCAAUGAAAGCCACUCAUCAGGGCACCUCUGUGUGGC
Molecule: long non-coding RNA, 1333 nt
Filed under: Equus caballus (horse)
Lineage: Eukaryota; Metazoa; Chordata; Mammalia; Perissodactyla; Equidae
Description: lncRNA (ENSECAG00000058455.1)
Source: RNAcentral